GAUGAACGCUGACAGAAUGCUUAACACAUGCAAGUCCACUUGAACUUCGGUUUGGGUGGCGGACGGGUGAGUAACGCGUAAAGAACUUGCCUCACAGAUAGGGACAACAUUUGGAAACGAAUGCUAAUACCUGAUAUUAUGAUUAUAUGGCAUCGUAUAAUUAUGAAAGCUAUAUGCGCUGUGAGAGAGCUUUGCGUCCCAUUAGCUAGUUGGAGAGGUAACGGCUCACCAAGGCGAUGAUGGGUAGCCGGCCUGAGAGGGUGAUCGGCCACAAGGGGACUGAGACACGGCCCUUACUCCUACAGGAGGCAGCAGUGGGGAAUAUUGGACAAUGGACCAAGAGUCUGAUCCAGCAAUUCUGUGUGCACGAUGAAGUUUUUCGGAAUGUAAAGUGCUUUCAGUUGGGAAGAAAAAAAUGACGGUACCAACAGAAGAAGUGACGGCUAAAUACGU
RNAcentral lists this ribosomal RNA (453 nucleotides) under uncultured bacterium. Its description in RNAcentral is "partial 16S ribosomal RNA". It matches the Rfam family "Bacterial small subunit ribosomal RNA", at positions 28 to 506 of the family's 1533-position model. The record is from RNAcentral.